GGGAACCUUUGGUUGCCCGAGUUGUAGUCUGGACAAGUGUCUUCCGCGCUGGACCGUGUACAAGUCUCUUGGAACAGAGCGUCAUAGAGGGUGAGAAUCCCGUCUUUGACACGGACUACCAGUGCUUUGUGAUGCGCUCUCAAAGAGUCGAGUUGUUUGGGAAUGCAGCUCAAAAUGGGUGGUAAAUUCCAUCUAAAGCUAAAUAUUGGCGAGAGACCGAUAGCGAACAAGUACCGUGAGGGAAAGAUGAAAAGCACUUUGGAAAGAGAGUUAAACAGUACGUGAAAUUGCUGAAAGGGAAACGAUUGAAGUCAGUCGCGUCUUCUAGUACUCAGCCUUCCUUUUGGUUGGUGCAUUUACUAGUCGACGGGCCAGCAUCAGUUUUGGCUGCGGGAUAAAGGUCAGGGGAAUGUGGCACCUUCGGGUGUGUUAUAGCCUUUGAUCAUAUACCGUGGCUGGGACUGAGGAUCUCAGCACGCCUUUAUGGCGGGGGUUCGCCCACCUUCGUGCUUCGGAUGCUGGCGUAAUGGCUUUAAACGACCCGUCUUGAAACACGGACCAAGGAGUCUAACAUGCCUGCGAGUGUUUGGGUGGAAAACCCGAGCGCGUAAUGAAAGUGAAAGUUGGGAUCUCUGUCGUGGAGAGCACCGACGCCCGGACCAGACCUUCUGUGACGGAUCCGCGGUAGAGCAUGUAUGUUGGGACCCGAAAGAUGGUGAACUAUGCCUGAAUAGGGUGAAGCCAGAGGAAACUCUGGUGGAGGCUCGUAGCGAUUCUGACGUGCAAAUCGAUCGUCAAAUUUGGGUAUAGGGGCGAAAGACUAAUCGAACCAUCUAGUAGCUGGUUCCUGCCGA
Molecule: ribosomal RNA, 854 nt
Filed under: Phlebiopsis yunnanensis
Lineage: Eukaryota; Fungi; Basidiomycota; Agaricomycetes; Polyporales; Phanerochaetaceae
Description: partial large subunit ribosomal RNA
Rfam family: Eukaryotic large subunit ribosomal RNA
Source: RNAcentral